UCCAAUUGUGGGGUUCGCAAGUUCCUGUAGUCAGAAUUCAAAACUGAAGGGUGGUUGUCAAGUACCAGAGGUGUUCCAAAAAUGGCAUAUUUCUUCACUAAUACAGAUAAAACCCUGGCCUUCCCUUCUGUUAUGGGCCUCUUUUGGCCAGCAAUAAACAACAGCUAAGACUACAAUUAUUGUGCAAGGGAAAAGGUGGCAAAAACAGAUAUAUAGAGAGGAAGAGCCCUUUGGUUGAAUCAGCAACCAGAGGGUCAAAUCAGCAACCAGAGGGUCAAAUUUUGUUUCAGGAAGGAGAGAAGGAGGGGAACCCAUAAUUUUCCCUUUUCAAUCAUGCAAUUUUUGAGGAUCGUUAGGCCUCUCCUUCCGGGAUUUAGGGUUUCACAGCUAACAUCGCUGGCGUUGUGCUUGUAAAUGCAUCUCUGUAGACUCCUUCCUCCUUGGAUCUACCAUAUUAUUGCAUGCAUGGGAGCAGAGGUUGUUUUGGAUGCUGUGCUAAACCUUCUACAAUUUUUACGGUUUAUGACCCAUCAAAGGGUCUGACAAUUCAAAGUCAAACAGUAAAGCAACCCAGCACUACAGACGACUUCGAAAGCAGUAGUGCAGGUGAAAUGGACCAUAGUGGAGUACAAUCCCAAAGAAGUAUUUCAACAAUCAUUACCUUGAAUCAGACCUGUGAUCCCUCUACUAGUGACGGCAGCACAAGCAAUCCUUCUGAAUUUGUAAAUCAUGGUCUUCUUCUUUGGAAUCAAACAAGGCAGCAGUGGCUUGCAAAUAAAAGGUCUCCAAACAGGGCACAAGUUCGAGAACCGGCAAUAAGAUGGAAUGCCACUUAUGAGAGUUUACUUGGGAGCAACAAGCCUUUUCCCCGACCUAUCCCUCUUACUGAAAUGGUGGAUUUUCUUGUUGAUGUUUGGAGAGAAGAAGGUUUGUAUGACUAAAUAAGCUGGAAAUUUUACAAGUGCUUUCUCCUUCCUUCCUCAUGUAUCGCUUAAAGGUUGCAUUUGCCUUGUGAUUUCUAUCGCUUUUCUUUCAUUCAAGUGUAGCCUCCUUGUAUACUCUUUGUGGAGUAGCAGUUGCUCUGCAAUUUUAUCAACCUUGAUUGUGUGCAAACAUUGAUUCAUUUAUAGGCACAGGACUUGUAAAUCCAAAUUCUCAUUUCUUGAUUUUACCAUGAUAAAAGAACUUUUGUUCAUAAAUAAGGAGAUCAUAAUCCAAUAUACUGUAAUAAGUGUAUU
This 1238-nucleotide unclassified non-coding RNA is filed under the name Hevea brasiliensis (rubber tree). Lineage: Eukaryota; Viridiplantae; Streptophyta; Magnoliopsida; Malpighiales; Euphorbiaceae. The record is from RNAcentral.